GGUUUUAAUUACUAUAGGAGGAUAUAAAACGGACAAAUGACUCUUAUCGGUCAAGAGGAUGAGAUCAGCUCUCUUGGUCUAAAAAUGUGCAGUAGUUUAGACGGAAAAGGCACCGGCAAAGCUAAAAUAUUCCAAGCCAAGGUUACGUAACUCAAUCCAUCAGCACAACAAGAGUCGGAAGAGAAACAACAGCUUCUAUAUUUAUUUUUGCUAUAUCAACGAAAGCUUACUUGUACGAAACGACAAAAAAGGAUCUGAGAACGUGACUAUUCUUGUCAAGAGUAGACAAAUCAACUCUAUAAAUUUUUAUGUUGAAAGAUCAACAGCCUACUACAUUCCA
Daphnia pulex (common water flea) is the source of this 340-nucleotide long non-coding RNA. RefSeq lists it as uncharacterized. NCBI's taxonomy places the organism in Eukaryota, Metazoa, Arthropoda, Branchiopoda, Diplostraca, Daphniidae. The record is from RefSeq and is a predicted model, not a curated record. The transcript is spliced from 3 exons.